CUUACGAAAAGCCAGAGCUCCCCUUCCUAUUUACCGGCGAGCCACCUUUAGUCCUCUUUUGCUCACACACGAUCGACUUCAAGCCACAGAGAUGUAGAAAUGGAAUUACUCUGCCUUUCACCUUUUGAGAAACUGCCAGACUGUCUUCCAAAGAGGCUGCACCAUUUUACUUUCCCCACCCGCAGUGUAUGCGGGUUCCAGCCGUUCCCCGUCCUCGCCAGCACUUACUAGCGUUGGCCUUUGACCACAGUCCUCCUAGAGCAGAGACUGGAAACAAAAGACAUGCUUUCAAGCUCUUCGAGACCUCAAAAAAAUUUCAAUUUAUUUAGUCCAAAGAAAAAUGACUUCCUUCAACACCAACAAAAACUCAUGUAUUUUGGAAUUGUAUUUUAUCUGGAACUUCAGAUGUGUAAACGGU
This is a long non-coding RNA of Neofelis nebulosa (Clouded leopard), 418 nucleotides long. RefSeq lists it as uncharacterized. NCBI's taxonomy places the organism in Eukaryota, Metazoa, Chordata, Mammalia, Carnivora, Felidae. The record is from RefSeq and is a predicted model, not a curated record. The transcript is spliced from 3 exons.